This 465-nucleotide ribosomal RNA is filed under the name uncultured bacterium. RNAcentral's name for it is "partial 16S ribosomal RNA". It matches the Rfam family "Bacterial small subunit ribosomal RNA", at positions 28 to 507 of the family's 1533-position model. The record is from RNAcentral.
GACGAACGCUGGCGGCGUGCUUAACACAUGCAAGUCGAACGGAAAGGCCCUGCUUGCAGGGUCCUCGAGUGGCGAACGGGCGAGUAACACGUGGGUGAUCUGCCCUCCACUUCGUGAUAAGUCUGGGUAACUGGGUCCAAUACCUGCCAGGAGCCAUUCUUAGUGUGAUGGUUGGAACGUUUUUUCGGUUUAGGAUGAGCUUGCGGCCUAUCAGCUUGUUGGUGGGGUAAUGGCCUACCAAGGCGGCGACGGGUAGCCGGCCUGAGAGGGUGGACGGCCACAUUGGGACUGGGAUACGGCCCCGACUCCGACGGGGGGCAGCAGUGGGGGAAAUUGCACCAAGGGCGCAAGCCUGGUGCAGCGACGCCGGGUGGGGGAUGAAGGCCUUCGGGUUGUAAACUCCCUUCGAGAGGGGCGAAGGUGUUUGUGACGGUACCUAGAUAAGAAGCACCGGCUAACUACGUG